GAUGAACGCUGGCGGCGUGCUUAACACAUGCAAGUCGAACGAUGAAGCCCAGCUUGCUGGGUGGAUUAGUGGCGAACGGGUGAGUAACACGUGAGUAACCUGCCCUUAACUCUGGGAUAAGCCUGGGAAACUGGGUCUAAUACCGGAUAGGAGCGCCUACCGCAUGGUGGGUGUUGGAAAGAUUUAUCGGUUUUGGAUGGACUCGCGGCCUAUCAGCUUGUUGGUGAGGUAAUGGCUCACCAAGGCGACGACGGGUAGCCGGCCUGAGAGGGUGACCGGCCACACUGGGACUGAGACACGGCCCAGACUCCUACGGGAGGCAGCAGUGGGGAAUAUUGCACAAUGGGCGCAAGCCUGAUGCAGCGACGCCGCGUGAGGGAUGACGGCCUUCGGGUUGUAAACCUCUUUCAGUAGGGAAGAAGCGAAAGUGACGGUACCUGCAGAAGAAGCACCGGCUAACUACGUGCCAGCAGCCGCGGUAAUACGUAGGGUGCGAGCGUUAUCCGGAAUUAUUGGGCGUAAAGAGCUCGUAGGCGAUUUGUCGCGUCUGUCGCGAAAGUCCGGUGCUUAACCCCGGAUCUGCGGUGGGUACGGGCAGACUAUAGUUGCAGUAGGGGAGACUGGAAUUCCUGGUGUAGCGGUGGAAUGCGCAGAUAUCAGGAGGAACACCGAUGGCGAAGGCAGGUCUCUGGGCUGUAACUGACGCUGAGGAGCGAAAGCAUGGGGAGCGAACAGGAUUAGAUACCCUGGUAGUCCAUGCCGUAAACGUUGGGCACUAGGUGUGGGGACCAUUCCACGGUUUCCGCGCCGCAGCUAACGCAUUAAGUGCCCCGCCUGGGGAGUACGGCCGCAAGGCUAAAACUCAAAGGAAUUGACGGGGGCCCGCACAAGCGGCGGAGCAUGCGGAUUAAUUCGAUGCAACGCGAAGAACCUUACCAAGGCUUGACAUGUUCUCGAUCGCCGUAGAGAUACGGUUUCCCCUUUGGGGCGGGUUCACAGGUGGUGCAUGGUUGUCGUCAGCUCGUGUCGUGAGAUGUUGGGUUAAGUCCCGCAACGAGCGCAACCCUCGUUCCAUGUUGCCAGCACGUAAUGGUGGGGACUCAUGGGAGACUGCCGGGGUCAACUCGGAGGAAGGUGAGGACGACGUCAAAUCAUCAUGCCCCUUAUGUCUUGGGCUUCACGCAUGCUACAAUGGCCGGUACAAUGGGUUGCGAUACUGUGAGGUGGAGCUAAUCCCUAAAAGCCGGUCUCAGUUCGGAUUGGGGUCUGCAACUCGACCCCAUGAAGUCUGAGUCUCUAGUAAUCCCAGAUCAGCAACGCUGCGGUGAAUACUUUCCCGGGCCU
Molecule: ribosomal RNA, 1344 nt
Filed under: uncultured bacterium
Lineage: Bacteria
Description: bacterial SSU rRNA
Rfam family: Bacterial small subunit ribosomal RNA
Source: RNAcentral